CAGCAGCCGCGGUAACACGUAGGGUGCAAGCGUUAAUCGGAAUUACUGGGCGUAAAGCGUGCGCAGGCGGUUAUAUAAGUCAGAUGUGAAAUCACCGGGCUCAACCUGGGAACUGCAUUUGAGACUGUAUGGCUAGAGUGUGUCAGAGGGGGGUAGAAUUCCACGUGUAGCAGUGAAAUGCGUAGAUAUGUGGAGGAACACCGAUGGCGAAGGCAGCCCCCUGGGCUAAGAUUGACGCUCAUGCACGAAAGCGUGGGGAGCAAACAGGAUUAGAUACCCCUGUAGUCCCUGUCUCUUAUAC
Molecule: ribosomal RNA, 301 nt
Filed under: uncultured bacterium
Lineage: Bacteria
Description: partial 16S ribosomal RNA
Rfam family: Bacterial small subunit ribosomal RNA
Source: RNAcentral